This 113-nucleotide ribosomal RNA is filed under the name Antarctobacter albus. The record is from RNAcentral. Lineage: Bacteria; Pseudomonadati; Pseudomonadota; Alphaproteobacteria; Rhodobacterales; Roseobacteraceae.
UUUGGUGGUCAUAGCGUGAGCAAAACACCCGGAUCCAUUCCGAACCCGGCCGUUAAGUGCCACCGCGCCAAUGGUACUGCGUCUCAAGACGUGGGAGAGUAGGUCGCCGCCAA